Molecule: ribosomal RNA, 468 nt
Filed under: uncultured bacterium
Lineage: Bacteria
Description: partial 16S ribosomal RNA
Rfam family: Bacterial small subunit ribosomal RNA
Source: RNAcentral
AACGAACGCUGGCGGCAUGCUUAACACAUGCAAGUCGAACGGCAACGCCCUGCUUGCUUGCGCUGCUGGAGUGGCGAAGGGGUGAGUAACACGUGAGUAACCUGCUCUUUACUUUGGGGUGAGUUCAGGCAACUGGAGCUAAUCCCAGAUAGGAUCUCCCGCUGCAUGGUGGGGGUUGGAAAGUUUCGCCGGUUGGGGAUGUACUGGCGGCUUAUCAGUUUGUUGGUUGGCUAGUGGAAUACCAAGGCAUUGACCGGUAGGCGGCCUGAGAGGGUGACCGGCCCCAUUGGGACUGAGAUACGGACCAGCCUGCAAUGGUAGGCAACGGUGGGGAAUAUUGUCCAGUGGGAGGAAGCCUGAUGCGACAACGCCGCGUGCGGGAAGACCUCAUGGGGGUUGUGAACCGCAUCAGCUUGAGACGAAGCGUUAGUGACGGUAAUGGGUGAAUAAGCACCGGCUAACUACGUG